CAGUCUCUGCCAGGAGGGUGCUACGUUCUCUCUGCUCCAACCUGUGGGCCAUUGCGCAGCACAGCUAUGUUUUCAGCACAUACCUUGGCAAGACUUCUCAUCUGUUAAUAAUUUAAAUCCUUUCUUGCAGCCGCAGUCAAAACUGCCCACGAUGUUUUUGCAGAAAUGAUCACAACCUCCAUUGCGGGUCUGGCACUCAUCAAUAUCUGCAACAGGAAAGCAUUGGGCAUAUCAGAGAGCAAUACUUGCCUCAUUUCCCACAACUCCCUGAAGGGCCAUUGUGUGUGUUCAUUAGUCUCUGAAAUUAAGAAAAAGACUCACAAAAGCAUUUAAGAAUGUUUGCUGAUGUUUUUAACCUUAUACAUGUUUUCUUAUCUGGCUUAACCAGUUUUGAAAGACAAGUGUUUCAUCGUCUUGAGAACGCUGACUUAUGAUGCCCUUGAUUGGCAUUAAGGAAACAAACUCUGGGAAAGAAUGAUGACGUCCUGUUAUAUUCUCAUCUUUGUAUUGCUCUCUCAAGAAAUAUGGGGGAGGAGGAGCCAGAAGAAGAAACAGCUCGAAGAAUUGACUAUUGUUGCCUCUGGCAAAUGGGAUGAGGAAAUGGGAAGUUAUGAGACAAGGAAAUGAUGAGUUUCAUUACAAGCCUAGAAGUAAUUAAGCGUUUAUGUUACUCAUUUGUACUAUUUUCACUUAAGACAAUGAAAAUUUAUAAUUUCUAAAGAGCAGAAAAGAGCUCGGAAAGGUUACCUGCUUGGUAACCAAUGGCUGUAUGAUAUGUUGCCUGACUGUUAAAUCCAGAAACUGUCAAAAGAUGGGUUUUGUUUAGGUUGAGCCAGACUUUCUCCAGAAGGAGUAACGCACCAAAGGAUCUGUCUGACUCCCACCCCCAUGACCACCUCUAUUUCUGCUCAUCUCCAGCUUGACCGCUGGACCUUCAGGCAGGUCUUCCCUUGUCCCACAGCCAAGUGUUGCCCCUCUCCAUUCAUCUCUUCUACUAUUAUCAUCAGCUGAGUCAGAAAUAGAAGACUCAGUGGACACAAAAAAAGACUAGCUGCCAUUCUGAGCUAGAGGCUGCUUCAGAGGAAGACAGCUGACUUCACUGACCACCCACUCAGUCCCAGGCACUGGACUCUGGGCACCUUUCCAUAUUAUUAUCUUAAUUGAGCAUCCCAACUGAUAUGGCCAGGCUUUAUGUCCCCACUCAAAUCUCAUCCUGAAUUAUAAUCCCCAUAAUCCCCUCGUGUCAAGGGAGAGACCAGGUGGAGGUGAUUGGAUUAUGGGGGCGGUUCCCAUGCUGUUCUCAUGAUAGAGUGAGAUCAUGAGAUCUCAUGGUUUUACAAGUGUUUGGUAGUUCCUCCUGCAUUUAUUCUCCUUCCUGCCACCUUGUGAAGAAGGUACCUUGCUUCCCCUUUGCCUUCCACCAUGAUUAUAAGUUUCCUGAGGCCUCCCCAGCCAUGUGGAACUGUGAGUCAAUUAAGCCUCUUUCUUUAUCAAUUACCCAGUCUCAGGCAGUUCUUUACAGCAGUAUGAAAAUGGGCGAAUACCCUGGCCCUAAGAGGUAGACUUUAUUACAUCCAUUUCAAAGAAAGACCAAGAGACAGAGCCUCAGGGCAGUUUGCCAAGUCUUACAGCUAGGUGGGGGCUGCAUUGGGACGUUAACCUGAUUAUUCUGAUGGACACGAGACCAAGGGUCUUGCUUGGUUGGUGAUUAAGCAACAGCACUGGUGAAGAACAGACACACACCCUGGUUCACAGGAGCUGCUCACCCCAGUCCAGCUGGUCUGAGGGCAUGUGGCUCCCAAGUUCAGGUCUGAUGCAAUAAGUUGGGGAGGGAAAAGGACAAUUGCAGUGGCCAAGGAAAGGGAGUGAAGGUGCCUACCCAUGAGCAGCCGCCGUUUCACCCGUUUAUCCCCAUCCACCACUGAUGUGGUGUUGCUCUCUGUCACCUCCAGGACAGUGUCCUCUCGCUCUACAAGAGAAGCAAAAGAGCACGGUUCUCAGACUGAAUGAGUUAGAUUGCUCAUCCCCAUACAACUGUGUUUGCUGAAAUCCCAGACAUAAGAGGAAUGAAAGAUAUGUGACUCUGUUCACGCAAUAAAAAUGUGUUGUAAUGAGGCUCUGUGGGAGACACAGCCCGUUAAAGGGCCACAGAUCCUUAGCAAACAUUAAACAUGGAAAAGAUUUUGGAGGUAUAUUGCACUGACCAAAGAGACACUAGGGAAUGCAAGCUUCAGUCCCCUGAGUCGAGGAGAAAAAGAGCCUUGGGCCUGGAAACCUCUAAAAUGGAGCUAGUGAAGGACACACCGUGAAGGGCAAGGCAGGCAUCCCGCCAGAAAUAUACGGCCCUGGCUCCUGCUGGCCAGAAGUGCCGCAUCAUUAUAAACAGCUCUAACUUCGUGCUGCCCUGGCCUCCUGGGAGGUGUUGUGCCAGUCUCUGGAAUACCAGCGUUAGGAGCAGCCUAGUCCAGGAGAGGAGGAAGGGCUUCCCAAGGUCACACAGGGAGAGAGGGGCCUUCCCCACAGGCCUAGACCACUCCCACUGUAGCAUGCGAAGCAGCACAGGGCCUGCUGGGGGGGCAAAUGCACAGGAAACAGCCUGCAUCUGUGCUAAACACCAUUAAGGGGUAGGGGUAGGGACAGGCAGGCUGGUGCAGACCCUCACUCAGUGUUGGGGUUGCCACUCACCAAGGCAGCUCCUCCCAUCUGUGUGCAUCUUGUACUGUGGAUGGCAGCUGCACUCUGGGCCAUCGGCUGUAUCGUCACAGGAGUGCUGGCACCCACCGUUCCCAUGGUUACAGGUCACUGACAGCAAAAUGAAUCAAUACAUAAAGCACUGAGAUUUCCACAAACACAGGGCUGUGUUUGCUCCAGAGAAAUUCUGAUUUUCAUUCUGCAAGUAUUUGAGCACCUAGUGCAUGCCAGGCAUGGUGCACGAAAGACAUAACUCCAAGUCAGACCCUGUGGUGUCUGUGUAUGCAGAUAGUUACAAUACAAAUUGUAGAAAUGCUGAAACAUGGGUUUAAACAAAGUCAUACAGGAAGAGGGAGAUGGGAGAGUUGGGGGAGAGACUUUUAUUAUAUAAGGGAGAUUAUACCAAGAGAUUCUAGACUACUGCUUUGUUCUAUCUAGAGAAGUU
This 3136-nucleotide long non-coding RNA is filed under the name Homo sapiens (human). RNAcentral's name for it is "HSALNT0171838". The record is from RNAcentral. Lineage: Eukaryota; Metazoa; Chordata; Mammalia; Primates; Hominidae.